UCCCUUUUGUAGUCCUUUUACCUUUAUUAUGACAAAAAUGAUUUGUCAGUAUACUUCUCAUUAGGGAAAAAUAAAGCAUUUGAUGUCCCCUAUCCACUUUGUUAUCUUUUAUUCUAAUGAAGUAGUGAACAUCAUUAAAUUGAAGAAAAGGAACACAAGAAAUUUAUAUUCUUCAUAUGUUUAAGAUCUUCUCGCCAAAUAGACCACCAUUUUCCAUG
This 218-nucleotide unclassified non-coding RNA is filed under the name Hevea brasiliensis (rubber tree). The record is from RNAcentral. Lineage: Eukaryota; Viridiplantae; Streptophyta; Magnoliopsida; Malpighiales; Euphorbiaceae.